UGUAAAACCUAUAUUUAAGCCCUGUUUAGGAAAGAACUAGAAUGAAGGCUGAAGUAGGAAACCUACCGAGAACUCAAGACUGAACUGAAUUCAAGCAUAAUCACCAGAUCAACCAUAUGAAGAUAUGAAACCAAACAAUAUGGUCUUUCUUGGAUGCAAAUCUGAAUAAUUUCUCCACGAUAUAAACAAAAGGCGCUGAGGACAUUAUCGUUGUAUCCUGACCCCAGCUGACUGGUUUCUGUGAGAUCGGAAGACUUCACUAAAGAUUGACUGGAGAACGUUGUUUCUAAGCCCUGAGCGGAUUCCUAAACUAUCUGGAGAACGUUGUUUCCCAGCCCUGAGCGGAUUCCUUAACUCUCUGGAGAACGUUGUUUCCCAGCCCUGAGCGGAUUCCUUAACUCUCUGGAGAACGUUGUUCCCAGCCCUGAGCGGAUUCCUAAACUAUCUGGAGAACGUUGUUUCCCAGCCCUGAGCGGAUUCCUUAACUCUCUGGAGAACGUUGUUUCCCAGCCCUGAGCGGAUUCCUUAACUCUCUGGAGAACGUUGUUUCCCAGCCCUGAGCGGAUUCCUUAACUCUCUGGAGAACGUUGUUUCCCAGCCCUGAGCGGAUUCCUAAAUUAUCUGGAGAACGUUGUUUCCCAGACCUAAACUAUUUAAGAAGUGAACCUUCGGAGAUAAGGGGAUCUGGUUAAAUAAACAUUCUCGUCAAGAAAUAUACCUACGUGGACGGUGCUCCACCCACUCAGUCGAUGCACCAAAUGUAAGCACUCAUUUAAUAUAUUCGUGUGAUUGAUUGAUUGUAAAAUAAUAAUUAGUUGAUGGUAUUGCUUUAAAACUUUUAAAUUAUAUGGAACUGAUUAAUAGUGAUUUAUUUUUUCAGUUUCCACCACAAGACGUGCUUUCCUCGUUCCUAAAGUAUAAAUGAACUGUGGAUAUUUACAGAAACAAGCGCGUGAGAAAUGGGUAUGAUGACUGAGCCUGCGUCCGGCAUUUGGCGUGAAGACCUAAUUGAAAAUUAGGUGAGAAAUGCACAAU
This is a long non-coding RNA of Eurytemora carolleeae, 1035 nucleotides long. RefSeq lists it as uncharacterized. The transcript is spliced from 3 exons. NCBI's taxonomy places the organism in Eukaryota, Metazoa, Arthropoda, Copepoda, Calanoida, Temoridae. The record is from RefSeq and is a predicted model, not a curated record.